UUCAGUCUUUUGUUUUCACAGAAGAAGACAAGGCAUUUGUGGGUUGUCAAGAUUUAUUAAUCACCUGAUGAAAUUGUAGAUGAAGCUUAGUGAAUUCUCUGUGUUUCUGCUGCUGGUCUGCAUCUCUCUGCAGAGAGCUGACAGCCAUUUACCUAACUUCAGUCCUGGAACUCCCCCUCUGCAGGUAAAUGCUUCAAACAUCGCCUCAGCUGUCAAGGAAAACAUCUUCAGACGACUUCCUGGACUUUGUCGGCGUUUGAAGAGACGCAGAGUCACUGUCCUGUGUAACUUGGAGAAGUUCUGUU
This is a non-coding RNA of Maylandia zebra (zebra mbuna), 305 nucleotides long. The record is from RefSeq and is a predicted model, not a curated record. NCBI's taxonomy places the organism in Eukaryota, Metazoa, Chordata, Actinopteri, Cichliformes, Cichlidae.